Long non-coding RNA from Cyprinus carpio carpio, 1475 nucleotides. Lineage: Eukaryota; Metazoa; Chordata; Actinopteri; Cypriniformes; Cyprinidae. The record is from Ensembl.
AGCUUUUUGACCCACAUAAGCAGGCCGUAAGUACAUCUUUAUAUUUAAUUUACUAAUUACUUCUGUUGUCUUUGAAAUAUGGUUAAAGUAUUGUUGAAUGUACUGACAAGCUAUUAUGGUAAAAUAAAAUAAAAAAUUGAUGUCAUUUCUAUUGAAACUUUUAUGUCAUGUAUUUAAAUUUGUAAUUAGCUACAGUUUCGGUGCCUUGCUCAAAGGCACCUCAGUCGUGGUAUUGCCGGCCUGAGACUCGAACCCACAACCUUAGGGUUAGGAAUCAAACUCUCUAACCACUAGGCCACGACUUCCCCACAUAAAUACACAUGCAAGACAAUUGAAUGCACUUCUUUUUCACAUAGGGCUGCUAAAGUGAUAUUAGAAUGAAUAAAUAAAUCAAAUUCCUAAAUGCAGAUUUAACAAGCUGGGUUUGGAUAAGGUCUCUGGCGCAGAGGAGCCCCCAUCUCACUGCCAGGUGGAGGAGAUCCACAUGUUCCAGCCCGUCCACUCGGCUCUCUAAAUGUUGAGAAGAUUGUGUUUAUAGACAUCGGUACAGCACACUCUGUUGCAGUCACAGAGAAAGGUCAGUGUUUCAGUAACCAGCAUGGGCAGCUUGGUUGCAGUUCCCGCCAAAGCAGCUGAGUGCCCUAUCAAGUGUCAGGACUGCAGGAGAUCACCAUAGCCGCGUGUGGCGAUGCUUUCACUCUGCCUAUCGGAGCAGGAUCUGACAUGCAAAGAAACAGAAGGACAAAGAUGUCAUUCAGCCAAAUGAUGUUCAGAACUGUGAGUAAAUGCUCUGCUCCUUGAUUCGGCAGAGGGGGGAGUGUACACCUGGGGUAAAGGGGCAUGUGGUCGGCUUGGACGGAAAGAAGAGGAUUCUGGGAAACCAAAGGCAGUGCAGCUUGAUGAGAGCCACCCUUACACUGUCACGUCAGUGGCUUGUUGCCAUGGAAACACACUGUCGGCUGUGAAACAUAAUGUGUAGCCAUAAUUUCUUUUAUGAAUGUUAACAGUUCUUGAAUAGACAUUUAUUGUAAUUAUCUACUGUUGAUUUGGACUUACAAAGGUUGUUGUCAUUGUUAAAACACACUGACUAUAUUCUCCCUCAUAAUUUCUCUCCUCAGCUUUUUUUGAAGAGCCCGUUCCAAAGUGACAUCACUGCCUCUGCCCAAAUCACUGCACACACUCAGCUCCUGUCCAUGAGGACACUAGUGUGGAUUCAUUAAGAAUUUUAAGCUAUGCAGUUGUGUUAAUAAUGUAACAGACACUGUAUGUAAAGCUUUUUAUAACAACAACAACAAUUAUUAUUAUUAUUUUUAUGUAGCAUUGUAAAUAAUGCCUGGUUUCUCAACAAGGUCUGACUGCCUUGAAGAAAAACACAACAAAACAACUAUAUGAAGAUAAUUAUGUGCUGCUUAUGUUAACACAUAAUUUAACAACAAUUGAAACUGUUAAAACACAGUUUCUAAAGUGUAUUGUAA